RNAcentral lists this ribosomal RNA (529 nucleotides) under Trichotrigona extranea. RNAcentral's name for it is "partial 16S ribosomal RNA". The stretch from base 377 to 529 matches the Rfam family "Bacterial large subunit ribosomal RNA", at positions 2473 to 2626 of the family's 2925-position model. Lineage: Eukaryota; Metazoa; Arthropoda; Insecta; Hymenoptera; Apidae. The record is from RNAcentral.
GUCUUAUUGAAAAUAAUUUUAAGUCAAUCUGCCCAAUGAAUAAAUUUAAUGGCUGCAGUAUAAUUGACUGUACAAAGGUAGCAUAAUAAAUUGGUUUUUAAUUGAAAUCUGGAAUGAAAGGAUUAAUGAAAUAUAAACUGUCUCAUAUUUAUUAUAUGAAUUUAAAAUUUUAAUAAAAAUGUUAAAAUUUUUUUAUGGGACGAUAAGACCCUAUAGAAUUUUAUAUUAAUUUAAUUUUAUAAUUAAAUAUAGAUUUUAAUUUAAUAUUUGGUUGGGAGAAUUAUUAAAUUUAAUAAAUUUUAAUUUAAAAAUAACUUUGAUUUAAGAAAAAAUUUUUGAUUUUUAAUUUAUAAUUUUUAGAUUAAAUUACCUUAGGGAUAACAGCGUAAUAUUUUUUUAUAGAUCUUAUAGAAAAAAAUGAUUGCGACCUCGAUGUUGAAUUAAGAUAAAUUUUAAAUGUAGAAGUUUAAUAAUUAAGUCUGUUCGACUUUUAAAAUCUUACAUGAUUUGAGUUCAAAUCGACGUGAGU